Bubalus bubalis (water buffalo) is the source of this 595-nucleotide long non-coding RNA. RefSeq lists it as uncharacterized. The transcript is spliced from 3 exons. Lineage: Eukaryota; Metazoa; Chordata; Mammalia; Artiodactyla; Bovidae. The record is from RefSeq and is a predicted model, not a curated record.
GUGUGACAAUAGCUUGUGAAAGACUUUCACAGUGUUUACAUCACAGGGAGAACAUUCUGGUGAGCACCUAGGUGCAAUCUGAAACUCAGCUGCCUGGGUGAACAUCUUACCACCACCACUAAGUAACCAUCGAGGAUAUAAGGAAAAUGGAAAUCUAAGAGUCAGGAAGAGGCCGAUCAUUGUUCAAUAUGGGUCAUAAAGCAGCUGAGACAACUCAAAACAUCAACAGUACAUGGGGCCCAGGGACUACUAACAAAUGUACAGUGUAGUGCUGGUUCAAAAAGUUUUGCCAAGGAGACAAGAGCCUUGAAGAUGAGGAGCAUAGUGGUUGGCCAUUAGAAGUUGGCCAUCAGAAGUUGACAACCACCAACUGAGAAGUUCAUCAAAGCUGAUUCUCUUACAACCACACAAGAAGCCAAAGAACUCACUGUUGACCAUUCUAUAGUCUUUCAUCAUUUGAAGCAAAUUGGAAAGGUAAAAAAGCUAUAAGUGGAUGCCUCUGACUACAAAUCAAAAAAAAAAUUCAUUGUUUUGAAGUGUUGUCUUUUCUUACUGUAUGCAACAACAAACCAUCUUUUGAUUAUGACAUGCAACG